This 468-nucleotide ribosomal RNA is filed under the name uncultured bacterium. RNAcentral's name for it is "partial 16S ribosomal RNA". It matches the Rfam family "Bacterial small subunit ribosomal RNA", at positions 28 to 507 of the family's 1533-position model. The record is from RNAcentral.
GACGAACGCUGGCGGCGUGCUUAACACAUGCAAGUCGAACGGAAAGGCCCUGCUUUUGUGGGGUUCUCGAGUGGCGAACGGGUGAGUAACACGUGAGUAACCUGCCCUUGACUUUGGGAUAACUUCAGGAAACUGGGUCUAAUACCGGAUAGGAUCUCCUGCUGCAUGGUGUGGGUUGGAAAGUUUCGGCGGUUGGGGAUGGACUCGCGGCUUAUCCGCUUGUUGGUGGGGUAGUUGCUUACCAAGGUUUUGACGGGUAGCCGGCCUGGGAGGGUUACCGGCCACAUUGGGACUGAGAUACGGACCAGAAUCCUACGGGAGGCAGCAGUGGGGAAUAUUGCACAAUGGGCGGAAGCGUGAUGCAGCAACGCCGCGUGCGGGAUGACGGCCUUCGGGUUGUAAACCGAUUUCGACUGUGACGAAGCGUGAGUGACGGUAAUGGGUAAAGAAGCACCGGCUAACUACGUG